Molecule: ribosomal RNA, 253 nt
Filed under: uncultured bacterium
Lineage: Bacteria
Description: partial 16S ribosomal RNA
Rfam family: Bacterial small subunit ribosomal RNA
Source: RNAcentral
UACGUAGGGGGCAAGCGUUGUCCGGAAUCACUGGGCGUAAAGAGCGUGUAGGCGGCCAGAUAAGUCCGCUGUGAAAUCUCGAGGCUCAACUUCGAGCUGUCGGUGGAAACUGUCUGGCUAGAGUCCGGAAGAGGAGAAUGGAAUUCCUGGUGUAGCGGUGAAAUGCGCAGAUAUCAGGAAGAACGCCCGUGGCGAAGGCGGUUCUCUGGGACGGUACUGACGCUGAGACGCGAAAGCGUGGGGAGCGAACAGG